This 460-nucleotide ribosomal RNA is filed under the name uncultured bacterium. RNAcentral's name for it is "partial 16S ribosomal RNA". It matches the Rfam family "Bacterial small subunit ribosomal RNA", at positions 338 to 795 of the family's 1533-position model. The record is from RNAcentral.
CCUACGGGAGGCAGCAGUGAGGAAUAUUGGUCAAUGGACGCAAGUCUGAACCAGCCAUGCCGCGUGCAGGAAGACGGCUCUAUGAGUUGUAAACUGCUUUUGUCCGAGGGUAAAUCCCGAUACGUGUAUCGGGUUGAAAGUAUCGUACGACUAAGGAUCGGCUAACUCCGUGCCAGCAGCCUCGGUAAUACGGAGGCUUCAAGCGUUAUCCGGAUUUAUUGGGUUUAAAGGGUGCGUAGGCGGUUCGAUAAGUUAGAGGUGAAAGCCCGGGGCUCAACUCCGGCACUGUCUCUGAUACUGGCGGGCUAGAGUUUAGUUGCGGUAGGCGGAAUGUAUGGUGUAGCGGUGAAAUGCAUAGAGAUCAUACAGAACACCGAUUGCGAAGGCAGCUUACCAAACUACGACUGACGUUGAGGCACGAAAGCGUGGGGAGCAAACAGGAUUAGAUACCCCAGUAGUC